CACUCUAUAGCCCAGGCUGGAGUGCAAUGGCAAGAUCUCAGCUCAUUGCAACCUCCACCUCCCAGCUCAACCGAUCCUCCCUACCUCAGUCUCCUGAGUAGCUGGGACUACAGUUGUGUGUGAUUGUGCCCAGCUAAUUUUCGUAUUUUUUUGUAGAGACAGAGUUUUGCCAUAUUGCCCAGGCUGGUUUCGAACUCCUGGACUCAAGUGAUCCACCCGCCUCUGCCUCCCAAAGUGCUGGGAUUACAUACAGGUGUGAGCCACUGCACCCAGCCAGGCAGCUUUUUAUUAGACUUUCACUAGGUCCUUGUAGGUGGAACCUUAGUGGUCACAGUGGGCCAGGAGGGUUUGGCUAGUUUUGGCCUUUGUAGCCAUCUUUGAAUUACACUAUUAGUAGAUCAGUCUGGUCUCUAAAAGGAAAAAGACCACAGUCAUUAUUGGAGUUUGACUAUUCCGUUUAAAAUGUAGCUUUUAAGUGAGGUACAUCAUAAAGGAUCUACUGGCUGGGCACGGUGGCUCACGCCUGUAAGCCCAGCACUUUGGGAGGCCGAGACGGGCAGAUCACUUGAGGCCAGGAGUUUGAGACCAGCCUGGGCAACAUGGUGAAACCCCAUCUCUACUAAAAAUACAAAAAUUAGCUGGGCAUGGUGGUACGUGCCUGUAAUCCCAGCUACUCAGGAGGCUGAGGCAGGACAAUCACUUGAACCCGGGAGGCGGAGGUUUCAGUGAGCCAAGAUCACUCCAUUGCAUUCCAGCCUGAGUGACAGAGCAAGACUCUGUUUAAAAAAGACAACGAAAACCGAAAAACAAAGAACAGGUGGAGUCUACUGACUUGCAUGAGUCAGGUAAUUCAUUGACCGGGGCUGGUCAAAAAGAUGGGUUGAUCCUUACUGUGGAAGCUCUCAGCUGCCCUGCAAUACUUUGGAAAUAAACCAGGCAAAACACUGCUCAGUGUGCUGCACUCCAGACACAAACAGGAAGCUGCUCUUUCUCUGCUUCCCUCCCCCACAAUCAGACUCUUGUAACUCUCUUUUCUUCUUUUUCUAAAAUGAAUCUGGGAGUUUCCUUUAGCCCCUGUUUUGUGGUCGCCUCCCAUACACGUUUUAUCUGUCCGUGGCAUUUUCUUUUAUUUAUUGAAAGCACCGUGUCUUAGAUCAAGUCUUGAGAAACAGAACCUGAGACAAACAUGAAUGUGGUUAAUUGAACGAGCGCUGUGCAGGAAAAGCUGUACUGGAGAGAGGUAAGCGGACAGAUACGGGGAAGAGCUGGGCCCAGCAAAGAUGAGGUCUCAAGUAAAGCUUAUGUUUGGCUUAAUCCACCGGGGACGGUUCUGGAACAUAAGCCACACCGCAGAGCUGUGAUGUCACACCUUGAGGCGAGGGCCUUGCCUCCUGGUAUCAGUCAGUCCUGGCUGUGGGGAGCAAGGUGGCUCCACUCAGUGCAAGGCCAUCCUGGGCAAGGGGCAGCCCCCCUCACCGCAGUGGCCUGGCAGUGGGGCCCUGGGUCCGGCACAGCUCCUCCUUCGCACAGUGCUGUCUGCUCGCCCGGUGUCUUUCAUGCCGUUUCCCACCAACUUCCCUCCUCUGCCUCCUGCUCUGCAUUGCACAGUGCAGCGAGGUUGCCAAUUCCAUAGUUGUAGCGGCUGUGGGGGAAGGGGCAGGCGGGACAGGGGAGGCAGCCAUCUAACUUUUGUCCUGACUCACGCAGGCCUGGCCUGGUGUUCAGAACACAAAUGUGAAAAAUCAGACCGGGAAGAUCACGGGAGGCAGGAAGCAUCUGGUUUGCAGGAGUCUCACUCUGUCACCCAGGCUGGAGUGCAGUGGCGUGAUCUCAGCUGACUGCAAUCUCCACCCAAGUUCAAGAGAUUCUUCUGCCUCAGCCUCCCACGUAGCUGGGACUACAGGUAUGUGUCACCACUCCUGGCUAACUUUUUUAUUUUUAGUGGAGAAUGGGUUUCACCAUGUUGGCCAGGCUGGCCUUGAAAUCCUGACCUCAAGUGAUCCACCCACCUCGACCUCCCAAAGUGCUGGGAUUAUAGGAAUGAGCCACCACGCCUGGCCACCCUUGGCUAUGUUAUUAAAGACAUGCAAGGGAAACAUUAACUUCCAUAUUAAAAUAUUCUCUUUCUUUUUUUAUCCUGUACAGAGCAUACCAUAGCAGCUUGUGCCUGAGACCUCGACAAAUAUCUGGGGGAUAGAUUGGCUUGCAGAGCACAUUCUGCCUAUAGAAAUGAGUUAGCAAGUUUAGUCAGCCAUUGUAGAUUUCAAAGGGUGAGAAGCCUAGCCAGAGGUUAUAAUAUAGCAUGAUAUCCUCCUGGAAAUGGAAUUCUUCACUUGCGAUGCAUUUUAGGAGCCGCUGCUCUGUGUGAGCCACUCUGCUAGGUCCCAGCAUGCAUGAUAUUAUUCUACACAAAGAAUAAUAUCAGAGCUCACAGCCUAUGCAGGAAGUAAGCAAUUAGUUACAGCGUGAUGUGUACUGCAACCCAGGUAAGUACACAGUGUCAUGGAUGCUUCCAGGAGGAAGUCAUAGUCUGACCAGGAAGUUUGGGAAUACUUCUCAUAGGAAGCAACAAGCUACCUGGAAAGAUCUAGAAAGAUGAACAGUACCAGUGUAUUGAUUAGAAAUGCGUUCAGCAGCAAGUCAUAGAACACAUGACUAGUAAGGUUUAAACAAAUAGAAGGUUAUUUUCUCAUAUAAUAAGCCCAGAGGUAGGCACUAAAGGUGGUACAUUGGCUCAGUGGUGUUGGGACUAAGGUUUCUAAAAUUCUCUUGUCCUCUAAGACAUGGCUGCAGGUUGGCUGCAGCAGCUCCAGGCAUCGUGUCCACACUGAAAGGAGAAAGGGGGAGGCCAGCUAUGAUUUCCCCUUUUAUCAGGAAAGCAGAAACCUUCCUGUGGAUUUCUGCUUAUAUCCCACUAGCCAGAACUGGGUCAUGUGGCUAUCCUUAGCAGCAAGGGAGCCAGGAAAGAGAGGAUUUCACUUCUCCAGCUUCUUCUGUAUAUGGGAGGGCAGGUAGGUGAAGGGGGCUAGACUGAAUCCUGUGUGAGCCAACUAGCAGGCAGAACAUUUUGCAUAGAACUGCAUUUGCAAAAACAUGGAGCUGUGAAAGUGUGUGGAACAUUUACAGGCUAUUUAUUUAUUUAUUUAUUUAGAGACAGAUUCUUGCUUUGUCGCCCAGGCUAGAGUGCAGUGACACGAUCUUGGCUCACUGCAACCUCUGCUUCCUGGGUUCAAGCAAUUCUCCUGCCUCAGCAUCCCCAGUAGCUGGGAUUACAGGUGCCUGCCACCAUGCCUGGCUAAUUUUUGUAUUUUUAGUAGAGACGGGGUUUCACCAUGUUGGCCAGGCUGAUCUUGAACUCCUGACCUCAAGUGAUCCACCCGCCUCAGCCUCCCAAAGUGCUGGGAUUACAGGCGUGAGCCACCGCCCCCAGCCUACAAUCAAAAAAUUUAAUAUCAUCAAAUUACAGGGCAUGUGGCAGAGAAGUGUGGGCAGACAAGACACAGAGAAGUGGAGAUGAGACUCUUCAGACCCUUGAAUGACAUGUUGAAGAGCUUGGAAUUUUCUUAUAGAACGUAGGUAAUCAAUAGAGAGGUUUCAUCCGAGGAAUGAUAAAAAUCCAUUUGGGAAACAGAGGCGGUGUGGAGGAUGGGUCAAGAGAGAAUCAGAAGGCAGAUGAUUUACAGCAAUCCAGGCCAGAUAUCAGGAGGGCCUACUCUAAGAUUGCUUUUAGCAUAGCUACUGGGGAAGAGUCGGGCAGGAGAGCCCAGAGGCCCCGCAUGUGAUGGAAACAGCUGCCCAAACUGCAUCUUCAGGUAAAUAUGGCAGACCAUAGUUCCCCCUUCAUAAAGGCCUCUUGGGCGUGUUUCCUGGAAGGAAGAGGUGGGAGAUGUCGCCAUGCUCAGCACAUACGUGAGGUGUUGCAUUAGUCUCCUGGGGCUGCCGUAACAAAGUACCACAAAGCAGAUGGAAACAACAUGCAUUUUUCCCCCCACAGUUCUGGAAGGUGGAAGGCCAGGAUCAGGUGUCAGGAGGGUUGGUUUUUUCUGGGGGUUCUGAGAGAAUCUGAGGGGAAUUCCAUGGCUUUCUCCCAGCUUCUGGUAGUUGCUGGCAAUCCCUGGUGUUCCUGGGCCUGUAGACACGUCACCCCCAUCUCCGCCUCUGUUUUCAUGUGGCAUCCUCCCCGGUGCGUGUCUGUGUGCCCCAACCCCCUUGUCUUAUGAGGCCCACUCUAAUCCAACAGGACCUCGUCUUUACAUAAUCAGAUCUGCUAAGAUCCUGUUUCCAAAUAAGGCCAUGUUCACAGAUACCUAGGGUUAGGACUUGGACAUAUCUUUUGGGGGGACCCGAUUCAACUCACAACAGGUGUUUGAGGGCAGCUCUAGUUGAGAGUGUCAGAGAACCUCUGGCUUAAAGGAGGAACAGGGAGUCUAUCUGCUUGCAAUGUCUGAAGUAGAGUGGAGUGGCUUUACUGUCCUUGGUAGAGAGCAUGUCCUGCUUCAUUCUCAGGAAGGAUCUCACUGUGAGGUGGCUACGAUUACUCUCUGCCCACCCUGGUUGCAUCUGGCUUACAGAAGACAAUCCCAGAAGAAACAGUCUCCCCCAAAGUCCGCAGCAACCCUUCCACUAGGAGUCUACUCCUGCUUACACAAGGCCCAUGCUCACGCCUCACCCCACUGCUGUGUCCAGGGCUUCGUGGUAUCCUGAUGGGCUAGCGUGGGUCACACUCCCACCCUUUGAGCCAUGGGCCCACCUAGUCCAAAUCAUAACAACUGAACAGGAUGAUCACAGGUUGUGGAGAUGAAUCUGCCAAAGUGAUGCUAGGCAGUGCGCUUUCUUUUUUAUUUUUAAAAUAUUUUUUGCAUGUAUGUAUGUAUGUGAGACAGUCUCGCUCUGUCGUCCAGGCUGGAGUGCAGUGGCAAGAUCUCGGCUCACUGCAACCUCUGCCUCCUGGGUUCAAGCAGUUCUCCUGCCUCAGUCCCCCGAGCUGUGAUUACAGGCAUGUGCCACCACACCCGGGUAAUUUUUGUAUUUUUGUUAGAGAUGAGAAUUCACCAUGUUGGCCAUGCUGGUCUCCUGACUUCAAGUGAUCCGCCUGCCUCAGCCUCCCAAAGUGCUGGGAUUACAGGCGUGAGCCACCAUGUGCAGCCAGUAGUGCUCUUUCUUUACCUCUGCCCAAAUGAGGACAAGGAGAUGAAGCGUGGCUGAAAGCAUCAGCCUCUUCCCAGCUGUCCUGAUUGCAUGGGCCGCUUGUCCACUGGACAGGUACUUUUCCUGCCGGGCCUGCUCGUGUGGUUUGGACAGAUGCCCAACUGUCAGGCUCACUCUGUUCUGUUCAGGGAGCUGGCAUUUGCUCCAGUUUCCUCACCUGCCCACAGGGCAGGUGUGUGUCUGUGCGCCCCAACCCCCUUGUCUUAUGAGGCCCACUCUAAUCCAAAAGGACCUCAUCUUUACAUAAUCAGAUCUGCUACGAUACUAUUUCCAAAUAAGGCCAUGUUCACAGAUAUAUGAAUGGUAAGAGCCAGUGGGCCAGGUUGCCCAUGUGAGGGAGCCGGUCUCCGCACCUUGAAUUUCUCUACUGUUCUGGCCUCCGGGGCCAUGACAUUGAGGAUGGCUGGCCACUGGGCAUUGCUCCUUGCACCAUUUUCUCUGGGACUCCCUGAUACAUGUGAGGUUCUUCUUUCUCAGGCCUCUUUGAGGUGCAGGGACCCCCCCGCCCCCAUUGCCUAGUACUCCAAACUGGCCUAGGUCUACCUCUCCCAGCCCAAAUGUCCUGAGGUCCGUGACUGGAUUAUGACUUCAUAAACACCCUUCCCCCACCCUCACCACCACCACUUCCAGCAUCUGAGCUGGAAGACUGCCCGUGUCCUUCCAAUCCACUUCCCUUCCCUGUUGUUCAUCCUCACAUUUCUCUAACCACAGGCCAGCAGAGCUAGAAAAAACCCUAGGACAACUAGUCCAGCAACGGCGAAACAUUCAUUUUAACCUUAGUUCACAUGGUGCAGCCGCUACAGAAAACGGUAUGCGAGUUCCUCAAAAAAUGAAACAUAUGAUCCAGCAGUUUCACUUCUGGGUUUCUGGGUAUAUUCCCAAAAAAACUGAAAGCAGAAACUUAAAUAGCUGUUUGUACACCCACGCUUAUAGCAGCAUUAGUCACAAUAGCCAAAAGGUAGAAGAAGCCCAAGUGUAUAUCAACAGAUGCAUGGAGAAACAAAUGUGUAUACAUACAAUGGGUUAUUAUUCAGCUAUAAAAAAGGAAUGAGGCCAGGAUCAGUGGCUCACACCUGUUAUCCCAGCAUUUUGGGAGGCCAAGGUGGGCGGAUAACCUGAGGUCAGGAGUUCAAUACCGGCCUGGCCAACUUGGUGAAACCCCCGUCUCUACAAAAAUGCAAAAAUUAGCCGGGCAUGAUGGCAGGUACCUGUAAUUCCAGCUACUUGGGAGGCUGAGGCAGAAGAAUUGCUUGAACCACGGAGGCGGAGGUUGCAGUGAGCUGAGAUCGCACCAUUGCACUCCAGCCUGGUUGACAGAGCGAGACUCUGUCUCAAAAAAAAAAAAAAAAGGAAUGAAAUUCAGAUACAUGCUACAACAUGGAUCAACCUUGAAGACAUCAUACUAAGUAAAAUAAGCCAGUCACAAAAGGAUAAGCAGUAUAUGAUUCCACUUAUAUGAGGUACCUAAAGUAGUCUAAUUCAAAGACAGAAAGUAUAAUAGUGAUUACCACGGGUUGGAGGGAAGGAGAAGGGGAGUUAUUGUUUAAUCAUAUAGAGUUUGGGAAGAUGAAAAAGUCCUGGAGAUGGACAGUGGUGAUGGUUGUACAAUAAUGUGGAUGUACUUAAUGCCACUGAACGGCACACUUAAAAUGGUUAACAUGGUAAAUUUUAUGUUAUGCAUAUUUUACAACAAUAAAC
Molecule: long non-coding RNA, 6906 nt
Filed under: Homo sapiens (human)
Lineage: Eukaryota; Metazoa; Chordata; Mammalia; Primates; Hominidae
Description: HSALNT0134462
Source: RNAcentral